RNAcentral lists this long non-coding RNA (658 nucleotides) under Ananas comosus (pineapple). Its description in RNAcentral is "long non-coding RNA (ACOM_LNC024622)". Lineage: Eukaryota; Viridiplantae; Streptophyta; Magnoliopsida; Poales; Bromeliaceae. The record is from RNAcentral.
CAAUUUUUGAACAAUUCCUAUCAUAGUAAAUUUCUUUUAAAAAAAUCACUUUUUACUCAAUUUUUGAACAAUUCUAUCCAUUUUUUUUCCUUUUAUUUUACAAUUUUAAAAGAAUUUUUACUCAAUCUUGCAACUUCUAUCUUGUGGAAAAUUUCUUUUUAACUCAAGCUCCAAAUCUUUCUUUGUCACACAUUCCAGGGUCAAUGUUGUUAGCCUUGUACUUUAAAAGUUUAAACUGUUAGAAAACGAUAUAUAUAUAUAUAUUUUUAUAUUUAACACUCCUCUUACCAACCGUCCCUAGAGCAAGUGGCAAAGGACUUGGUAGUUGGUACCCGAGACCCAAGUUCGAAUCCUAGUUGAUUUGCAUUUCUAGCUAAAUUUAUUUCUAAAUGAAAUAAACGAAGCGGGUAACGUGCUACCUAUCUCUAAAAAAAAAAAAAAAAAAAAAAAAAAAGCUCCUCUUACAUUCGGCCUCAAAAUUUUUUCUAAGGAUCAUAACGUGAACUUAAAUUAAUAAGAAAAAAUUAAUAAUACCAGAAGUCUAACGUGACUUGAACUCAGAACCUUCUGCUCUAACACCAUGUGAAACAACAUAUGGUGUCAGAGCAGGAGGUCUUGAAUUCAAGACGCUUGUUUCCCAGUUAUGCUCCUAUUUUAU